RNAcentral lists this ribosomal RNA (460 nucleotides) under uncultured bacterium. RNAcentral's name for it is "partial 16S ribosomal RNA". It matches the Rfam family "Bacterial small subunit ribosomal RNA", at positions 338 to 795 of the family's 1533-position model. The record is from RNAcentral.
CCUACGGGAGGCAGCAGUGAGGAAUAUUGGUCAAUGGCCGGAAGGCUGAACCAGCCAUGCCGCGUGAAGGUCAGUGCCCUAUGGGCGUUAAACUUCUUUUGUGCGGGAGCAAUAAUGGUCACGUGUGGCCAGACGAGAGUACCGUACGAAUAAGCAUCGGCUAACUCCGUUCCAGCAGCCGCGGUAAUCCGGGGGAUGCAAGCGUUCGCCGGAUUUAUUGGGUUUAAAGGGUGCGUAGGCUGUGAGGUAAGUCAGCGGGGAAAUGCCCACGCUCAACGGGGUGAAGUGCCAUUGAUACUGCCUUGCUGGAAUGCGGAUGCCGUGGGAGGAAUGUGUGGUGUAGCGGUGAAAUGCAUAGAUAUCACACAGAACACCGAUUGCGAAGGCAUCUCACGAAUCCGCGAUUGACGCUGAUGCACGAAAGCGUGGGUAUCAAACAGGAUUAGAUACCCGUGUAGUC